UAAAGGUAUGGUCCCAGCCUUCGUGUCAGCCCUAGCUCAAUUUACACAUGCAAGUAUCCGCACCCCAGUGAGUAUGCCCUCAAACCCCCGCCCGGGGACGAGGAGCGGGCAUCAGGAACAAACUUUAGCCCAAGACGCCUGGCCAAGCCACACCCCCAAGGGAAUUCAGCAGUGAUAAACAUUAAGCCAUAAGUGAAAACUUGACUUAGUUAAAGCUAAGAGAGCCGGUAAAACUCGUGCCAGCCACCGCGGUUAGACGAGAGGCCCCAGUUGACAUUAUAACGGCGUAAAGGGUGGUUAGGGGUAUAAAACCAAUAAAGCCAAAUGGUCCCUUGGCCGUCAUACGCUACUAGGCAUCCGAAGCCCCACCACACGAAAGUAGCUUUAACACACUCCCCCCGACUCCACGAAAGCUAGGAAACAAACUGGGAUUAGAUACCCCACUAUGCCUAGCCAUAAACUUAGACAUCAAACUACAGCAAGAUGUUCGCCAGGGUACUACGAGCUCUAGCUUAAAACCCAAAGGACCUGACGGUGCCUCAGACCCACCUAGAGGAGCCUGUUCUAGAACCGAUGACCCCCGUUCAACCUCACCCCUUCUAGCCAUUUACAGCCUAUAUACCGCCGUCGUCAGCCUACCCUGUGAAGGAAAUAAAAGUAAGCAAAAUGAGUAUAACCCAAAACGUCAGGUCGAGGUGUAGCGCAUGAAGUGGGAAGAAAUGGGCUACAUUUUCUGCCCCAGAACAUAACGAACACGCACCAUGAAACAGUGCCUAAAGGAGGAUUUAGAAGUAAGGGAGAAAUAGAGUGUCCCCCUGAACCUGGCUCUGAGGCGCGUACACACCGCCCGUCACUCUCCCCGUAAAUUCACCAAAACAUAAUUAAUAAGAAAACAUCAAUAAGGGGAGGCAAGUCGUAACAUGGUAAGUGUACCGGAAGGUGCACUUGGACAAAACC
Molecule: non-coding RNA, 957 nt
Filed under: Puntius sahyadriensis (Khavli barb)
Lineage: Eukaryota; Metazoa; Chordata; Actinopteri; Cypriniformes; Cyprinidae
Description: 12S rRNA
Rfam family: Bacterial small subunit ribosomal RNA
Source: RNAcentral